UGGGUUUCUUUAUUUGGGGUACCUUUUGCAUCAUGAUUUGUUGAGUUGUGCUCGUGAAUAGAGAGUCUCGAAGGAUAUUGAUUUUCUUCACGCUAGGGUUGAUUUAUGGGGUGAGUAACUUUAGUUUAGAGUGUGUUGAGGUUGUGAUAAGUGAUUCGGAGUAUCUUAUAGCUGGUUGAAAGGGGGGUUUAUUGGUGUAAAGCACUUUGGUGAGGAUAUUAAGGUGUGGUUAAGAUCCUUAGGUUGUUUUGUUAAGUAUCUUGGAUUAGAGUUCUCCUUGGUUAAGGUGUGUGUUAUGAUUCGAUUGAGUGGAUUAUAUGGAUUUGAUNUUAGCUCNCUNUUUUUAUUAAUUUGUUGUGGGAAUUAUUACAUGAAUAAGUUAGGUGUUUGAAUUGGUUUCAUUCUUUCUUCGAUUGUNNUUUCGGUUCUGUUUAUUNNAAAACAUUUCCAUCUGAGUUUAUAGAUGGUAGUGCCUGCCAGUGCUUGUGUAAAUGGCCGCAGUAUUUUGACUGUGCUAAGGUAGCAUAAUUAGUUGCCUCAUAAUUGGGGGAUUGUUUGAAAGGUUUGACUUGAGAAUUGUAUUAGAUUGGGAUUUUGACUGAAAUUGAAGUUGGGGUGCAGAUUCUCCAAGGUGUUAAUAAGACGGAAAGACCCCGAGAUCUUUAUAUUGAGGUAUUUGUUUGGGGCAAAAUAUUAUGUUUUAUGCUAUUUUGGAUCCUAAUGGAUUAUAGGUUUAAGUUACCUCGGGGAUAACUAGGUAAAAAAUAAGGAGAGGUCUAAUCGAUUUAUUUUAUUGCCAUCUCGAUGUUGACUUGGAAGAGCAAGGAGGUGUAGGUAGUUCUUGGUAUGGUCUGUUCGACCUUAUUUCCUUCAUGAGUUGAGUUAAGAUCCGGUGUGAGCCAGGUCGGUUCUUAUCUAUUUGUGGUGUGGAUUAGUACGAAAGGAUU
This 947-nucleotide ribosomal RNA is filed under the name Fasciolopsis buskii. RNAcentral describes it as "Fasciolopsis buski large subunit ribosomal RNA". The stretch from base 608 to 947 matches the Rfam family "Bacterial large subunit ribosomal RNA", at positions 2045 to 2700 of the family's 2925-position model. The record is from RNAcentral. Lineage: Eukaryota; Metazoa; Platyhelminthes; Trematoda; Plagiorchiida; Fasciolidae.